AAUUCCUGGCUCAGGAUGAACGCUAGCUACAGGCUUAACACAUGCAAGUCGAGGGGCAGCAUGGUCUUAGCUUGCUAAGGCUGAUGGCGACCGGCGCACGGGUGAGUAACACGUAUCCAACCUGCCGUCGUACUCUUGGCCAGCCUUCUGAAACGGAAGAUUAAUCCAGGAUGGGAUCAUGAGUUCACAUGUCCGCAUGAUUAAAGGUAUUUUCCGGUANACGAUGGGGAUGCG
RNAcentral lists this ribosomal RNA (234 nucleotides) under uncultured bacterium. RNAcentral's name for it is "partial 16S ribosomal RNA". It matches the Rfam family "Bacterial small subunit ribosomal RNA", at positions 14 to 235 of the family's 1533-position model. The record is from RNAcentral.